This 4491-nucleotide ribosomal RNA is filed under the name Triticum aestivum (bread wheat). RNAcentral's name for it is "partial small subunit ribosomal RNA". The record is from RNAcentral. Lineage: Eukaryota; Viridiplantae; Streptophyta; Magnoliopsida; Poales; Poaceae.
CCACCACUUCCAUCUUAUCCCCUCGCUCUUUCUGGAGACCACACGAGGCAUCCUCGUCCUGCUCGCCCUUCAGUCCUCGAGUUCUCAAUCUCUCCUCCUUCCUGUGUUCUCACCAAAAUACACACCUAAUCCCCAUGAAACUGAGCUCGUUUUUGUUGCCUUCUCUGCUCCGCGCAACAUUUUUCCUCCAUAGAUCCAUGAGAGGGCGUCCAAAGGGCAGGACGACCGUGCUGCAAGCUCGUGCACCCGCUGCGUUACCAUGGUGUGCGACGGCGGAGACCGGUGCCGGCUGGGGCAGCGAUGCAGGAAAUGGCACACCUCGUUGCUGGAACCGGCCGACUGGAAAGCUGCAACCGGCAUCCGAUGAUGCUGGAACCAGUAAUCAUUUUUGCUACCACGGGCGUUUGGUUUUGCUGGAACCACCGCCAAAUUUGCAAGUUUGCUACUACUAACUUUCUGGUUUGCUGGAACAAGCUUGAAUUUUUGCUGCAUCGGCGUUUUUGACUUUUGCUGGGGGACAACUUUCAUUCUUUUUGUUUUGCAAUUUUUGCUACCACCGUUUCCUUUUUGCUGGAUCCGAUGCAAUUUUUUGCUACAUUCGGGAUGGAUGGAGCUGCAUGAUAGGGAGCUGCAUCUUAGUUUUUUGCUGGAACCGGGACACGGAUAGCUGCUACCAGCGAUUUUUUUGCUUCAACGGAGAUGAGACCCAGAGAGUUUUUUUGCUGGAAUGAAAUUUCUUCAUGAGGUGCGGUGGCGAGGCAUUUUUUUUGUGCUGUAAUUUGUGCUUUUUGCUGGAACCAUGUUUUGAUUUUGCUACAACGAGCAUUUGAUUUUGCUGGAACCGCCUGAAGCAGAUUUGGGACCAGUUUUUUUAGUAACUGAUUUUUGCUGCAACCAUCCAACCGGCGAGCGGGCCCGGCCGGUGAGCUGCUCCGGCGAGCGGCGACGGCGAGCCGGUGAGCGGGUCCGGCGAGCCGGCGAGCAGCGGCCACCGAGCUGCAAUCGUCGCUACAUGGAGCUAGAACCGCAGGGUCACGUUGCUGGCGCGAAACGCAGGAGGCGACGUCGGCGACCGGUGACGACGACGGCGACGGGCGGCGAGGGCAGCGACAGGGAAGCCAAGGGGGAGGUGCUUCGAGGCUGGCGCGUCGGCGUCCAUGAAAACUUUUUAUAAAAAAAGAAGACAUUCGAGGGAAAGGAAGAAGUGAAUCGUGCGGCUGCUGAUUGUUUAAUCGUACGAUGCUGGUACGACCGGCUCAAAUUUGGGCCGGUGCACCGGCGCCUAUCACUCGCCUUUGGCAAAUUAGUAGGCUUCCCCCUUACCUACUUGGGCUUCCCGAUCACCUUGGGCCGCCUGAAGAAAGAAGUUCGUGUUUGAUCGCAUCAGAGCGGAACUUGCUGGCUGGAAGGGCAGACUAAUGAACCACGCAGGGCGUAGAGCACUGGUGCGUUCUGUCCUCUGCACGAUCCCCAAUUUUGCUCUCGCAGCAGUUCAGGCGCCGGCGGGGUUCUACAGGGACGUGGACAAAGUUUGCAGGCGAUUCCUUUGGGCACAGGAGGGCCACAGCUGAGAGGUGGGAAGUGCAAAGUAAACUGGCCAUCUGUAUGCACUCCGGUGGAAUACGGUGGGCUAGGCAUCCAUCCAUGAUAUGGAAAAGUUUGCAAGGGCACCAAGGUCUUAAGGAGUUGAUGGGCCGUGCAUUCGCCCAUCCAUGGGGGUGCUCAUCAUGGGGGCGUCUCGGAGUUGAUGACAUCGUGUGUUUGCCGAUCCUUCAGAUCGGCGGCGUUAGGGUUUAUGGAUGGUGUCGGCGAGGCGGCGGCGAUGACUCCAUCAGGUGUGUCUCUCCUUCUGCUCUGUCCAUGUUGCUACGGCGUUAUCUUCGACGUCAUGGUGAAGCAGGGAGGUUUUAUCGUCUAGGAGUACGCGCAAACGGUUGUCUACGCAAGUGACAGCUGGAAGAUGGCGCAUCUUGUGUUGGGUUUGUUGUUGAAGUCUGAUAGUCCUGGUUUCCUCCUCCGACGUCAUAGUCGUGCGAGGGUGUCAGUUCUAGAGUUCGAUGGCAUGUCUGGGAACAUGUUGGUCCGAUCUGAUUCUUUCAACGGCAAUGGUUUUGCUUCACGCAAACUAUUUUUGAGGUGCGUAAAGCUGCUGAUCAGCGAUGGAGCUGCGUCGAGCUCGUGUGAAGAGGUGAUAUGUCUCCUUUUCCUUGGUGGAGAGGGACAUGUGCUGGUUUUUGCAUAGGAUUAUCCUAUCUUUUCAGUCUUGUAAUAUCGAUAUUUAUGUGGCUUGUAACUGAAUCUUUAUUUUAUUAAUGAGACACGUAUUAUCAUGAAGAAAAAAAGGCACUAAGGUUACGCUGGCUAUGGCUGUCCUGGUCAGUGCCAAGCAGGCCAUUGUUUGGUUAUGAACUUCCAUGCGAUCAGAAGGACAGAUCCAGCUGGAUUUGGUUCUUUUGCCGCCCCUCUCUCCCCUCUCGGGGAGCACAUGUAAAUUUUGCUACUCCCUUCAAGGAUAGGGUCUUUAAAAAUAAAAGGUUUACGCUAAUUAACUCCCAUGCGCGUGUUUGUAAUUGGCAUCCAGAUUUUGCGGCUAAAUUAGAGGUGUCUCGCCCCUAUAAGAUUUGUUUCCCUGCCUCCCAUUUCCUGCUGCGGGGCCCAUCCCUGACUUCCCUCCAUGCCCUCCGUUACAUUCCCCUAAUGCCGCCAUCGCACCUCGCCGCCACCGCGGCACAAUCUCCGGCCUCAUCGCGAGGUCGGCGUCCCCGCCAUGGCGGCGCGAUGAUAUCCGCCUCCUGCUGUCGCACCGCGGCCCUCGCCUCCCUCCUCGCGGCCGCCGCGGCCACAUCGUUCCUCACCUUCUCGCUGCCAUUGUCCCCCGGCGUGUCCACCACCAAGCACACGGGAGAAUUGUCCGCCGCGAGCUCGACGCCGCCGCCACAUCCAACAUUGGCUACGGUGUCACCUCCACCGCCCGCAGAACCAGCUAAGUCCGCGGCGAGGCCUCGAAAACGAGAGGUACGUACGUGUCCGCAUGCAGGUUGGGGAUUGAAAGUAACGGCGUUGUCUAUUUUCGUUCUGUGUCGUGGUGAUCAGCCGUCGUAUUGGAGGAUGGCGCCGGAGGAGGCGCUGAGGUACGCCAAGAAGGAGAUAAUUGCCGCUGAGCCGGUCGUCGCCGCCGACCCCGACGACCUGUACGCGCCUCUCUUCAAGAACGUCUCCCAGUUCAAGAGCGAAAAUGUGAUCAUCAUCCAGGAGCUACCAACUGAUGGAACGGACACUCAAAGUUUACAUUUACCAGGACGGUCGGCGGCCCAUCUUCCACACCCCUCCACUCAGCGGCAUCUACGCGUCCGAGGGCUGGUUCAUGAAGCUCCUCAAGGAGAGCAGGCGGUUCGUCGUCGCCGACGCCGCCAAGGCACACCUCUUCUACCUGCCCUACAGCUCGCAGAAUCUCAGGCUCUCGCUCUACGUGCCGGACUCGCAUAACCUGCGCCCCCUCUCCGUCUACCUCAGAGAUUUCGUCAAGGGCCUCGCCGCCAAGUACCCCUUCUGGAACCGCACCAGAGGCGCCGACCAUUUCCUCGUCGCCUGCCACGAUUGGGGACCAUACACGACCACGGCGCACCGCGACCUCUCCAGGAACAGCAUCAAGGCGCUGUGCAACGCCGACAGCUCGGAGGGGAUCUUCACGCCCGGGAAAGACGUGUCUCUCCCGGAGACGACCAUCAGGACGCCCAAGCGGCCCCUCCGGUACCUCGGCGGGCUCCCCAUCUCCCGGCGGCGCAUCCUCGCCUUCUUUGCGGGCAACGUGCACGGCAGGGUCAGGCCGGUCCUCCUCCAGCAUUGGGGCAAGGGGCAGGACGAGGACAUGAGGGUGUACGCUCUCCUCCCCGGUAGGGUGUCCAGGACGAUGACCUACAUCGACCACAUGAAGAACAGCAGGUUCUGCCUGUGCCCCAUGGGGUACGAGGUGAACAGCCCAAGGAUCGUGGAGGCCCUGUACUACGAGUGCGUGCCAGUGAUCAUCGCCGACAACUUCGUGCUCCCCUUCAGCGACGUGCUCGACUGGAGCGCCUUCUCGGUGGUGGUGGCGGAGAAGGACAUACCGGACCUCAAGAGGAUACUCCAGGGGAUCUCGCUCCGGAGGUACGUGGCCAUGCACGACUGUGUCAAGCGGCUGCAAAGGCACUUCUUGUGGCACGCAAGGCCCCUCAGGUAUGAUCUCUUCCACAUGAUCCUGCACUCCAUUUGGCUCAGCAGGGUGAACCAUGUUCAACUUGACAACUGAAAAAAGAUCAUGUCCAUGUAUUUUUAUGGCACUGAGAUUUUACAUGUAAGAUGGCGGUUUUGAAUGAAAAAGAAAAAUGUGUACAUUCAAGUUGUAAGCCUCUGUCACCAUUGAGUGCACGGUGACUACUGACAAGUACUCCCUCUGUAAACUAAUAUAAGAGCGUUUAGAUCACUACGCUCUUAUAUUAGUCUUAGUCUACA